RNAcentral lists this non-coding RNA (21 nucleotides) under Caenorhabditis elegans. Lineage: Eukaryota; Metazoa; Nematoda; Chromadorea; Rhabditida; Rhabditidae. The record is from RNAcentral.
UCGUAAUUAAUUCAAAAUAAU